This 440-nucleotide ribosomal RNA is filed under the name uncultured bacterium. RNAcentral's name for it is "partial 16S ribosomal RNA". It matches the Rfam family "Bacterial small subunit ribosomal RNA", at positions 338 to 795 of the family's 1533-position model. The record is from RNAcentral.
CCUACGGGGUGCAGCAGUGGGGUAUAUUGCACAAUGGGGGGAACCCUGAUGCAGCGACGCCGCGUGGGGGAAGAAGCGCCUCGGUGCGUACAGCCCUGUCAGCAGGGAAGAAAAUGACGGUACCUGAAGAAGAAGCCCCGGCUAACUACGUGCCAGCAGCCGCGGUAAUACGUAGGGGGCAAGCGUUCUCCGGAUGUACUGGGGGUAAAGGGGGCGCAGACGGCGAUGCAGGACAGGAUUGAAAGCCCGGGGCCCAACCCCGGGACUGCCUUUGGAACUGCGUGGCUGGAGUGCAGGAGGGGCAGGCGGAAUUCCUGGUGUAGCGGUGAAAUGCGUAGAUAUCAGGAGGAACACCGGUGGCGAAGGCGGCCUGCUGGACUGCAACUGACGUUGAGGCCCGAAAGCGUGGGGAGCAAACAGGAUUAGAUACCCGGGUAGUC